RNAcentral lists this ribosomal RNA (253 nucleotides) under uncultured bacterium. Its description in RNAcentral is "partial 16S ribosomal RNA". It matches the Rfam family "Bacterial small subunit ribosomal RNA", at positions 524 to 776 of the family's 1533-position model. The record is from RNAcentral.
UACGGAGGGUGCAAGCGUUGUCCGGAAUCACUGGGCGUAAAGGGCGCGUAGGCGGCUUGGCAAGUGGAAGGUGAAAUCCCUCGGCUUAACCGAGGAACUGCCCUCCAAACUGCUUCGCUUGAGACCGGGAGAGGUGAGUGGAAUUCCCAGUGUAGCGGUGAAAUGCGUAGAUAUCAAGAGGAACACCAGUGGCGAAGGCGAGUCCCUGGACAACUUCUGACGCUGAGGCACGAAAGCUAGGGGAGCAAACAGG